Molecule: microRNA precursor, 196 nt
Organism: Oryza rufipogon (brownbeard rice)
Lineage: Eukaryota; Viridiplantae; Streptophyta; Magnoliopsida; Poales; Poaceae
Rfam family: MIR1435 microRNA precursor family
Source: Rfam
UGGCUUUUUUCUUAGUCAAACUUCUUUAAGUUUAACCAAGUUUAUAGAAAUAUAUAGCAACAUUUUCAACAUAAAACAAACCAUCAAAAUAUAUUAAAUUUUAGUUUCAAUAAAACUAGUUUGGUGUUAUAGAUGUUGCUAAAUUUUUCUAUGAAUUUGGUCAAACUUAAAUAAGUUUGACUAAGAAAAAAGUCAA